This is a small nucleolar RNA of Bison bison bison, 135 nucleotides long. Its record names the gene SNORA70. It matches the Rfam family "Small nucleolar RNA SNORA70". From Rfam's summary of the family: snoRNA U70 seems to be exclusive to mammals and is a member of the H/ACA class of snoRNA which contain H (ANANNA) and ACA box motifs. H/ACA box snoRNAs are involved in the conversion of uridines to pseudouridines (5-ribosyluracil) a constituent of structural RNAs (transfer, ribosomal, small nuclear, and small nucleolar). The record is from Ensembl. Lineage: Eukaryota; Metazoa; Chordata; Mammalia; Artiodactyla; Bovidae.
UUGCAGCUGAUCAAGCCGACUAUGUGCUUUUCCCUGUGGGGUCCCAGGGUGCAGUGGCUGCAAAUAGCAGCCCCCCUGGUGGUGUAUGCAGUCAGUUGUCUGUACAGGUUGCCCUAAGGGACCUUGAAGACAACU